This 566-nucleotide ribosomal RNA is filed under the name uncultured Verrucomicrobium sp. RNAcentral describes it as "bacterial SSU rRNA". It matches the Rfam family "Bacterial small subunit ribosomal RNA", at positions 847 to 1413 of the family's 1533-position model. Lineage: Bacteria; Pseudomonadati; Verrucomicrobiota; Verrucomicrobiia; Verrucomicrobiales; Verrucomicrobiaceae. The record is from RNAcentral.
CGGAGCUAACGCGUUAAGCGUGCCGCCUGGGAAGUACGGUCGCAAGACUAAAACUCAAAGAAAUUGACGGGGACCCGCACAAGCGGUGGAGUAUGUGGCUUAAUUCGAUGCAACGCGAAGAACCUUACCAAGGCUUGACAUGCAUCUCUAAACACGUGAAAGCGUGUGACCCUUCGGGGAGUUUGCACAGGUGCUGCAUGGCCGUCGUCAGCUCGUGUCGUGAGAUGUUGGGUUAAGUCCCGCAACGAGCGCAACCCCUGUGAUUAGUUGCCAGCACGUCAAGGUGGGAACUCUAGUCAGACUGCCCAGAUCAACUGGGAGGAAGGUGGGGACGACGUCAGGUCAGUAUGGCCCUUACGCCUUGGGCUGCACACGUACUACAAUGCCCAGCACAAUGAGAACCGAUACCGCGAGGUGGAGGAAAUCUGUAAAACUGGGCUCAGUUCGGAUUGGAGGCUGCAACUCGCCUCCAUGAAGUUGGAAUCGCUAGUAAUAGUGCAUCAUCUACGGCACCGCGAAUACGUUCCCGGGUCUUGUACACACCGCCCGUCACAUCAUGGAAGCCG